UUGAACGCGGCGGCAGGCUACCCGAUGCUUAUCGAACGGUAACAGGAAGCACCUUGCUGCUUUGCUGACGAGUGGCGGACGGGUGAGUAAUGUCUGGGAAACUGCCUGAUGGAGGGGGAUAACUACUGGAAACGGUAGCUAAUACCGCAUAACGUCGCAAGACCAAAGAGGGGGACCUUCGGGCCUCUUGCCAUCGGAUGUGCCCAGAUGGGAUUAGCUAGUACGUGGGGUAACGGCUCACCUAGGCGACGAUCCCUAGCUGGUCUGAGAGGAUGACCAGCCACACUGGAACUGAGACACGGUCCAGACUCCUACGGGAGGCAGCAGUGGGGAAUAUUGCACAAUGGGCGCAAGCCUGAUGCAGCCAUGCCGCGUGUAUGAAGAAGGCCUUCGGGUUGUAAAGUACUUUCAGCGGGGAGGAAGGCGAUAAGGUUAAUAACCUUGUCGAUUGACGUUACCCGCAGAAGAAGCACCGGCUAACUCCGUGCCAGCAGACGAGGUAAUACGGAGGGUGCAAGCGUAAAUCGGAAUUACUGGGCGUAAAGCGCA
RNAcentral lists this ribosomal RNA (549 nucleotides) under uncultured Enterobacter sp. RNAcentral's name for it is "bacterial SSU rRNA". It matches the Rfam family "Bacterial small subunit ribosomal RNA", at positions 29 to 569 of the family's 1533-position model. Lineage: Bacteria; Pseudomonadati; Pseudomonadota; Gammaproteobacteria; Enterobacterales; Enterobacteriaceae. The record is from RNAcentral.